CAGACAAAGAACUUGAUUGCCUGGAAAGAGAAAUAGGGGGCAAAAAAUUGCGCAUCAACCCAAUUAAAAGCAUUCAGACUCAAUAAGAGUGAGCUUUCAAAGAGCUAUUACUACUUGUAGAGAGAGAGAGAGAGAGAGAGAGAGAGAGAGAGAGAGAGAGAGAGAGAGAGAGAGAGAGAGAGAGAGAAGGUGCCUCUUCUUGCAGAUCACACUACCACUAACUGAGCACAGCGGAAUUCCAGCAGAAUUGAGUGUCAAACACACAAAUGUUGGGCCAACCAAAGAGAUUACAACAAAAAAAUUAUAUCUCCUGUCCUUUGGUCAGGUUUGAACUUCAGAAGUACAGUUCCAACUACAUGACAAACUACUUAAAAUUCCUAUCUUCUCUACUGAUUCACAGUUGUUGAAAUUCACAAGAAUCAAAAUUCUGAUGUUUCAGCCAGCAUAGCUGGAAAAACUGCUAGUCUUUUGUUCAUAAUCUAUGUCCGAAGCCAUUUUGCAUGAUACCUUGGUAUCUUUUUAGUAGAAUUCUUUUUUUUUUUUUGGUAAAAAUUUUUAGUAGAAUUCUAUUAAUCCUAAAAGAAUGACAAUAAAUGUAUGGACAAAGGAAUAGUCGUACAUUAACUGGAUGAUCAAAUGUCAUAUAGGUAUUAUAAUUCAGUCGGAGAUAUUUGUUUGCUAUCCUCCUGUACACGUCUGCACAUAUCUUACUCAAAGAAUAUCGGCGUUCAACUACAGUACUAAGGCAAUGACCACGCUAACAUUAGAUAUAAACCAUAUCCAACACGAAAAUAACAAUUGGUCAGCACAAUUUUUGAUGUAUCCAUGAUACAAGAAAGUGAAGAAUGCUGAGGGGAACUCGAGAAAUGCACAUACACAAAGGGUCAUUCUGUCACGGGUGAUUCGUGCAUCAAAGAUGUAACAGUCUACCUAUGAUAUGCGUUCUGCCCGUAACAAAACUCGAUUCUCCUGGGGCUGUCGAGAGCGAGGAUAUAACCACGGAAGCUCGCGAUGGUAAUAAUCUGUAGAAGAAAUCAAGAACAAAAAGGGCUCACACAUUUGAAUAACAAUCUAGACACAUGAAACUCCAGGUGUACACAACUCUUGAUGAACUUCCCAUUUUUCUUUUU
Molecule: long non-coding RNA, 1130 nt
Filed under: Eucalyptus grandis
Lineage: Eukaryota; Viridiplantae; Streptophyta; Magnoliopsida; Myrtales; Myrtaceae
Description: long non-coding RNA (EGRA_LNC000006)
Source: RNAcentral